This 253-nucleotide ribosomal RNA is filed under the name uncultured bacterium. Its description in RNAcentral is "partial 16S ribosomal RNA". It matches the Rfam family "Bacterial small subunit ribosomal RNA", at positions 524 to 776 of the family's 1533-position model. The record is from RNAcentral.
UACGAAGGGGACUAGCGUUGUUCGGAAUUACUGGGCGUAAAGCGCACGUAGGCGGAUUUGUUAGUCAGGGGUGAAAUCCCGGGGCUCAACCUCGGAACUGCCUUUGAUACUGCAAAUCUCGAGUCCGAUAGAGGUAGGUGGAAUUCCUAGUGUAGAGGUGAAAUUCGUAGAUAUUAGGAAGAACACCGGUGGCGAAGGCGGCCCACUGGAUCGGUACUGACGCUGAGGUGCGAAAGCGUGGGGAGCAAACAGG